UUAUGUUUGAAGCUUCCUUUCCAUUUGAGUUUUCGAAUCGAAACUCUACAUUCUUCUUCUGCACUAACCAAGCUAAGCUCCGAGGGUUCUACGACAUUUCUUCUUGGCCUCUUUUUCCUUUUUGUGAGGUGGCCAAUAGUUGGUAUAAUACUUGAAAUAUACGGUUGUGUUUUCCUCUUCAGCUCCUUAAUUAUUAAAGAAGGAUAUUUGAAUUUGAUUGUUGCUUCCUAGUCAAUUGGUUACCUUGGUAUUAGAAAUUUUCUGAUGAUUUAUGAUUGAAUGUGAUGUUAAGCUAGCUUUUCUAAUAGUUUGCCAUAAGGAAGUAAGUAUCAUUUACUGAAAUUUGUUGUCAAAUGUAAAGUAUAUAUGGUAGUUAUAUAUUUGACCUUUCAAGGCUCACACUGUUCUUUAGUUUUCAAUGUAAACAAAAAUAUUCAAGUCGGUUAUGCUGUUUUGAGGAAUGAAACUUACAUAGAAAUCAUACUUUUGUAAAA
Molecule: non-coding RNA, 494 nt
Organism: Cicer arietinum (chickpea)
Lineage: Eukaryota; Viridiplantae; Streptophyta; Magnoliopsida; Fabales; Fabaceae
Source: RefSeq, a predicted model, not a curated record